GUCACAGCGCAGAAUGCAACGUGAGGAAGGUAAACUUCCACCAGGAGCCAGGUUGCAUUGUUGGGAAGUGUAGUCCCGGAAUGAAGGUGGACAGUGAGCUACCGACUGCCGGAGAGGCCCAGUUUCACCAAAUACAAACUUGCAUCAGGGAAACCAAAUGGAAACAGCUUUGGAAAGGAUUGACUUUGCACCUGCGGUGGGGCAGAGGAGCAAGACAGUUGUCCUGGUGUCUAGAGUGCGCCUGAUCAUUUCAGCACUCGAAGUCAGAUGUUUUCCCUAUGGGCUCAGAUAAUUCAAAUACGACUUGGAAGAAUGGGAGCCUCAAAGAGUUUCACACAUCUCAAGUUAUAUAUUUGCAUACCUAUACAAACAUGGAAUUAAUAAGACAAAAGACAGAGGUAUCAUGCAGACAAAUUUCAAGGCUGUUUCAGCCAGAUGUGAGAGUAAGGAUGUGGAGCAAUACAAGGUAAUGAAGAUAAAUUUUAAAAUAUUAAAAUGCCAAUAAACGUAAAAUUACAGUGUGGUAGAGAUCCAUUUUGCUUUGUCUAGUAAGGAUAACCAGCACUACUAAACCUAAAAAUAUAACCUUUGCAGAUCUCGUUGAAAAUGUUAUUCUGCUAUUAGCAUUAAAAUUAUUUUAAAGGGGCUGUUAGAGUUUUCAUAUUCUCUCAAAAGGAACUUGCAUUAAGUUACAAUAUCUUUAUUAAUUAGCCUUUAACACUAAAUA
Non-coding RNA from Vicugna pacos (alpaca), 727 nucleotides. The record is from RefSeq and is a predicted model, not a curated record. NCBI's taxonomy places the organism in Eukaryota, Metazoa, Chordata, Mammalia, Artiodactyla, Camelidae.